Molecule: transfer RNA, 83 nt
Filed under: Salix viminalis (osier)
Lineage: Eukaryota; Viridiplantae; Streptophyta; Magnoliopsida; Malpighiales; Salicaceae
Rfam family: tRNA
About the family: Transfer RNA (tRNA) molecules are approximately 80 nucleotides in length. Their secondary structure includes four short double-helical elements and three loops (D, anti-codon, and T loops).
Source: Rfam by way of RNAcentral
GUUGAGGUGACCGAGUUGGUCUAAGAGGUGCGAGAUUAAAAUUCUGGUUUGAGAGGUUGUGGGUUCAAGUCCCACUCUCAACA